This 74-nucleotide transfer RNA is filed under the name Bacteroidales bacterium. RNAcentral's name for it is "tRNA-Ala". It matches the Rfam family "tRNA". From Rfam's summary of the family: Transfer RNA (tRNA) molecules are approximately 80 nucleotides in length. Lineage: Bacteria; Pseudomonadati; Bacteroidota; Bacteroidia; Bacteroidales. The record is from RNAcentral.
GGGGAAUUAGCUCAGUUGGCUAGAGCGCCACGCUGGCAGCGUGGAGGUCAUGGGUUCGAGCCCCAUAUUCUCCA